RNAcentral lists this ribosomal RNA (460 nucleotides) under uncultured bacterium. RNAcentral's name for it is "partial 16S ribosomal RNA". It matches the Rfam family "Bacterial small subunit ribosomal RNA", at positions 338 to 795 of the family's 1533-position model. The record is from RNAcentral.
CCUACGGGUGGCAGCAGUGAGGAAUAUUGGUCAAUGGCCGUAAGGCUGAACCAGCCAAGUAGCGUGAGGGACGACGGCCCUAUGGGUUGUAAACUUCUUUUAUGCGGGGAUAAAGGUAUCCACGUGUGGAUGUUUGCAGGUACCGCAUGAAUAAGGACCGGCUAAUUCCGUGCCAGCAGCCGCGGUAAUACGGAGGGUCCGGGCGUUAUCCGGAUUUAUUGGGUUUAAAGGGAGCGUAGGCCGUUUGUUAAGCGUGCUGUGAAAUUUUUUGGCUCAACCAUGAGAUUGCCGCGCGAACUGGAGACCUUGAGUGCGCUGAAGGCAGGCGGAAUUCGUGGUGUAGCGGUGAAAUGCUUAGAUAUCACGAAGAACCCCGAUUGCGAAGGCAGCUUGCCACAGCGUAACUGACGCUGAAGCACGAAAGCGCGGGUAUCGAACAGGAUUAGAUACCCCAGUAGUC